GAUUACAAGGAAAAUGAUGCUGUUCUUUUCUUUGAUGGUGAGUCAUUCCGGCUGGAGCGGUUACAUAGGGCAGUUAAGCGGUUGAGGUAUAAUCGACUCCCCGGAGAAUCCGCUGCGGCAGUAGCACCUGGUCCUUCUCGUUCUCCUGCUCCUUCUCCAAUUGGAAUGCCUGUGGAGACACGUUCACCACCAGUUGCCAAAGGGGCUAAGUUUCAGUCUCUUAAUAAGCCUGCAGUUCCUGUGCCUGCUGUACGAGUUGAGGUGGAAAGGAUCGAAGUUGGUGACUUUAGAAGUUCAGAUUCAAGACCCAAAAAUGAGAAGAUUGCUGAACAUCCACCUUCACAUGCAAAUCAUUCAACUGCAUCACCAGACAUGAAGUAUGAUGACCUGGAUGAACAAUUAGAUAUACUGAAUGAUGAUGAGGAUGAUACUACCGCAGCCAAUGGUGGGAAUAUUACUGUUGAAGAAUUCAAAACUGGCAUUGAUAUUAAUAUCCCACACCAAAAUGAUACAGAUGAUGAGAUAGCUGAUGUGGAUGUAAGUGAUGAUGAUGAGGACAAGGGCCGCAAUGCUGCAGAAGAACUUAGAGCUCAGGUAAAUGCAGAGGUAAAAGAGAAUCAUACUUCGAGUUCUAGCAGUAGUAGCAGCAGUGACAGUAGUGGAAGUGGGAGUGGGAGCGGGA
This 682-nucleotide unclassified non-coding RNA is filed under the name Hevea brasiliensis (rubber tree). Lineage: Eukaryota; Viridiplantae; Streptophyta; Magnoliopsida; Malpighiales; Euphorbiaceae. The record is from RNAcentral.